AUCGCCUAGAUUAAGAACUUCAGUUGCACCCUGACUUCAUCCACCGCAUCGCCAAGAAUGGCCCACACACCGCACCGUCUGCGUACGCCUGCGUCCUUAAGAACUCCCAAUUUCCCCCAAGUCUGCGAAAGGUAAACAAACUCCGGAGCCGCCUUUGGGCAAUUUUUUGUAACGGAAGUGGAGAGACCGACGAGGAGGCGGCGGCUGUGGUGCCGCGGCCAGACCCAAGGUCCCUCGGAGCGUGUCCACACGUCUUCGCCAGCAGAGACCACCGGCGAGCUGUCCGGUCCGCGCCUCCGCGCCCAACGGCCAGCCCGGGAGACCCCAGCUCGCGGCCUCCGACGCGCACCUCCGGAGAACAGUGAAAAUAUCACUUCAGAUGGAAUCUUAAUGGAAAGCCAGAAAUGAAUGGAAACAAUAAUAGCAGAGCUGCUUUGGAUGCUAAGAGCUGUCAUCAGAGUUUCCAAGAAUUAAUGGCAUUGCCCAUAGGAUUCACAACCACUGUCCUGGGGGAUGUGGGCCAAAGAAGACUGGGUUUGGACCUGGCCAUUCGGCUCCAGAGCCCCUUUGGACAAAUGAGGAUUCCAGAGACUUGAGUCCAGCCAACUUUCUCUUUCCACUCAGAAGACUCAUCUAGUAGUGCUUUUUCAACUUUUAAGUGUGAGAAAAAUGAAGGAACUGGAGACUUCUGUUUCUACUCAGUAGCUGUAAUAAGAAAUCUGCAUAUUGGACUUGCAUCUUGAGAGGUUUCAGUGAAAAGCCUUUAACUGAUGGUAAUUUGUGAGUUGGAAAAAAAAAACUUUGCUCAUCUGACAAGAACAUUUGUCGAAAAAUGUGAUGCUGCUCUUAGACAACACUGUUGCCUGGCUGGACAGCAGAAUUCAAGAGGAAAACCUGUAGAAAUUAUCCUCCACCACCAACCACCGCUCUCCAUCAUCUGGAUCCUAUUUUUAGGGGCAAGGCAGUGAGUAAAUUCAGUUGGGCAUUAGAACUGUCAGGUGAAUUCAGGUCUCUUUUAUUAUCAGUGUAUGGAGUAUUUAAGAUGCCUUUACUGGAUAUAGGGCUUUGCCUUGAAAUAGUUUCAAUAGACUUUUUUUGUUAAUGUAUGUAAACUCACCAAAUCAUUACUCAGCAAAAUAAAAUAAUUUAUUUCUUGAAAGAAUGGCCAUCCCUUUAUCUCUCCAGUCCUAGUAACCAACACACAGGUAAGCAGUCCCUUAAUAAUUGUUUGCUGAAUGAGUGAAGGAUUGAAUGCAGAGUGAAAAGAGAAAGACAUGUAACUGCUUUGUGACUUCUUUACAAACACAUCUAAAGAAGCACCAUUUGUUUGAUUCUCAUUACUUCUCCCAAAUGUCGCUUGUAAAGCCUUCAUGGAUUUAUAUUAUUAUUUUCAUAUAACAUUUUGCAAAUUUUUUUAAAAUU
This is a long non-coding RNA of Neofelis nebulosa (Clouded leopard), 1422 nucleotides long. RefSeq lists it as uncharacterized. The transcript has 6 exons. Lineage: Eukaryota; Metazoa; Chordata; Mammalia; Carnivora; Felidae. The record is from RefSeq and is a predicted model, not a curated record.